UCUCCGUAGGUGAACCUGCGGAGGGAUCAUUACUGAGUGAGGGUCUCCGGGCCCGACCUCCAACCCUUUGUGAAUCGUACUCGUUGCUUCGGGGGCGACCCUGCCGUCCGCGGCUGAGCGCCCCCGGGGUCAAUCAAACACUGCAUUCUCUGCGUCGGAGUUAAAGUAAAUUAAACAAAACUUUCAACAACGGAUCUCUUGGUUCCAGCAUCGAUGAAGAACGCAGC
This 227-nucleotide unclassified non-coding RNA is filed under the name uncultured fungus. RNAcentral describes it as "sequence contains ITS1, 5.8S rRNA gene". The stretch from base 179 to 227 matches the Rfam family "5.8S ribosomal RNA", at positions 1 to 49 of the family's 154-position model. Lineage: Eukaryota; Fungi. The record is from RNAcentral.